UCGUCUUGCAGUGGCUUUCAGCGCCUCCUAGUGCCGGAACAACGUUCCUGCGUCUUCCCCGGAACUUAAGAACCAUUUUCCCUUCCCCUGCCCAGUCCAGCCAACCGUCGACCGUUAGAGCACAACGUUCCUGCGUCUUCCCCGGAACUCAAGAACCAUUUUCCCUUCCCCAGCCCAGUCCAGCCAACCGUCGACCGUUAGAGCACAACGUUCCUGCGUCUUCCCCGGAACUUAAGAACCAUUUUCCCUUCCCCUGCCCAGUCCAGCCAACCGUCGACCGUUAGAGCACAACGUUCCUGCGUCUUCCCCGGAACUUAAGAACCAUUUUCCCUUCCCCGGCCCAGUCCAGCCAAC
Molecule: long non-coding RNA, 354 nt
Organism: Tachyglossus aculeatus (Australian echidna)
Lineage: Eukaryota; Metazoa; Chordata; Mammalia; Monotremata; Tachyglossidae
Exons: 4
Source: RefSeq, a predicted model, not a curated record